This 250-nucleotide ribosomal RNA is filed under the name uncultured bacterium. RNAcentral's name for it is "partial 16S ribosomal RNA". It matches the Rfam family "Bacterial small subunit ribosomal RNA", at positions 524 to 774 of the family's 1533-position model. The record is from RNAcentral.
UACGUAGGGGGCGAGCGUUGUCCGGAUUUAUUGGGCGUAAAGGGUGCGUAGGCGGCUUUGUAAGUCAGAUGUGAAAGAUCACGGCUUAACCGUGGUAAGCAUUUGAAACUGCAAGGCUUGAGUUAAGGAGAGGAGAGUGGAAUUCCUAGUGUAGCGGUGAAAUGCGUAGAUAUUAGGAGGAAUACCAGUGGCGAAGGCGACUCUCUGGACUUAUACUGACGCUGAGGCACGAAAGCGUGGGGAGCAAACA